AACUGACAGUGUUGAUCCAUCAGUGUUAACACAACUCUCAGAGAGUCAAUUAAUCUAAGCUCCGCCCAGGUUUCCCGCACAUUCCACCUCAUCGGUUUGAGACACAGAGACGAACUGGCUAACUUUCUCCUUUCGUGCGGUUCUACACGCUUACAACCAUGAUACAGCAUAUCUGUUGCUGACACAUCACCACCUUCAGGCGAACUGAAGUCUCCAAAAAAUAUCAUGCUGCAGUCUGGUGAAGCAUCUCUGCAACCAGCCAAGUUACUACCCGUACCUCCUCACUGUUGGACAUCAGAAGAGCAAGACUGACAGCUUCUGCAUUGUGAUGAAUAAGCAUCUCAACCCAUGCCAGGCAAACUGUUCUCUCAUGGCAUUUGAUUAACUUUUUAAAGCAUAUUUUGUGUUGAAUUUGUCUCAUGUUUGUAUAUGUUUUAUGAUUUAAAAGGUUAAUUAAAUGUCAUAGUUUAAAAAUUA
Long non-coding RNA from Notolabrus celidotus (New Zealand spotty), 477 nucleotides. RefSeq lists it as uncharacterized. The transcript is spliced from 3 exons. Lineage: Eukaryota; Metazoa; Chordata; Actinopteri; Labriformes; Labridae. The record is from RefSeq and is a predicted model, not a curated record.